Molecule: long non-coding RNA, 608 nt
Filed under: Trifolium pratense (red clover)
Lineage: Eukaryota; Viridiplantae; Streptophyta; Magnoliopsida; Fabales; Fabaceae
Description: long non-coding RNA (TPRA_LNC010751)
Source: RNAcentral
GUAAAUCUCCUUAAACUUACUUGACUUAAUUGAAUUGAAGCUAAAUUGAGGUUUGAGGAGUUUUUGAGGAGGUGAUAGAGGAAAUAGUAAUAAAAAAAUGAACACCAUGGUUAUUACUCCAUUUGCAUUGGUCUUUUUGUUUGGAUAGUUUUUGGAAUAUUCUCUUAUUAGUGGGGUGUGCUACUUUGGUAGUACUUAAUUGAUCAAAGAAAGCAAAAGAAUAGACAAUAGUACAUCAAAAUAAAUUUAUAAUACUAGGUAAAUUGAGAAAAAGAAAAGGGUUGAAAAUGACAGUAUAAAAUAACCCCAUCUCCUCCAUUCAAUGAUAGCAUGAUCUAUUCCCUUUCAUUUUCAAACUUAUUUAUCAAUGUUUGUGCACGAAUCUGUCAAAAUAUUUUUGCAAAGCUUGGAAUGUUGUCGGCAACUCCAUCAUGUCAAAACACAUAGUAACCGGUAAUAGUAAUAAGUCCAUUAGCUCAACUAAAAUCAAACAAUAUUUAAUUGUUCGAUUAAGAUUAGACAACUUAAAUAAUUUAAUUUUGACUGUAUUAGUGCGAGUUCAUAUAAACUACAUGGAAUCUGAAUUAUCUAUAAUAUGUAAGCAUAGU